GAUGAAGAAACGCAGCGAAAUGCGAUAAGUAGUGUGAAUUGCAGAAUUCAGUGAAUCAUCGAAUCUUUGAACGCACAUUGCGCCCCUUGGUAUCCCGAGGGGCAUGCCUGUUCGAGCGUCAUUUCACCACUCAAGCCUGGCUUGGUGUUGGGCGACGUCCUCUUUGGGGACGCGCCUCGAAACGCUCGGCGGCGUGGCACCGGCUUUAAGCGUAGCAGAAUCUUUCGCUUUGGAAGUCGGGGCCCCGUCUGCCGGAAGACCUGCUCGCAAGGUUGACCUCGGAUCAGGCAGGGAUACCCGCUGAACUUAAGCAUAUCAAUAAGCGGAGGA
This 330-nucleotide unclassified non-coding RNA is filed under the name soil metagenome. Its description in RNAcentral is "partial contains 5.8S ribosomal RNA, internal transcribed spacer 2, and large subunit ribosomal RNA". The stretch from base 1 to 121 matches the Rfam family "5.8S ribosomal RNA", at positions 35 to 154 of the family's 154-position model. The record is from RNAcentral.